AUAAGUUUGCAUGAUCCAAUGGAUCAUAUAUGCUUCUUUGGAUGAAGCUUUCAAAUAGGAAAUUGAAUUAUCUGCAAACAAGAGAUGUGUGAGAGUAGUACAGCGUCUGGAUAUUUUCAGGCCCUACAAGGAAGAAGUGGGUCUCCUCGUUUUAAACCCCUCGAAGGUAAGAUGAAAUCUAUCUUAUGCCCAUUCACUUGCACCGAAUAAGAUACAAUAGUAACACAGUCUCUGAUCCAUCUCACCCAGCAUUGGUGGAAUCCAAAACAAGACAACAUGUGAUAGAAGUAUCCCCAUUCAACACGCUCAUAGGUUUUACUGAUGUCUAUUGAGUUAUAAAUUGCAUCAAGAAUUCCUGUGUAUUAUCAUGUCUUGUCAGCAUGCAUCGUGUAAGUAUACCAGAUCCAACCAUAGUGCGUUUUCAGGUAAAU
This 431-nucleotide unclassified non-coding RNA is filed under the name Hevea brasiliensis (rubber tree). The record is from RNAcentral. Lineage: Eukaryota; Viridiplantae; Streptophyta; Magnoliopsida; Malpighiales; Euphorbiaceae.